Molecule: non-coding RNA, 24 nt
Filed under: Cricetulus griseus (Chinese hamster)
Lineage: Eukaryota; Metazoa; Chordata; Mammalia; Rodentia; Cricetidae
Source: RNAcentral
CCCAUGGUGAGGGGAGAGAAGGCA